This 253-nucleotide ribosomal RNA is filed under the name uncultured bacterium. Its description in RNAcentral is "partial 16S ribosomal RNA". It matches the Rfam family "Bacterial small subunit ribosomal RNA", at positions 524 to 776 of the family's 1533-position model. The record is from RNAcentral.
UACGUAGGGACCAAGCGUUGUUCGGAUUUACUGGGCGUAAAGGGCGCGUAGGCGGCGUAUUAAGUCAGCUGUGAAAUCUCCAAGCUUAACUUGGAACGGUCAGCUGAUACUGAUGUGCUAGAGUGCAGAAGGGGCAAUCGGAAUUCUUGGUGUAGCGGUGAAAUGCGUAGACAUCAAGAGGAACACCUGAGGUGAAGACGGGUUGCUGGGCUGACACUGACGCUGAAGCGCGAAAGCUAGGGUAGCAAACGGG